AACGAACGCUGGCGGCAUGCCUAACACAUGCAAGUCGAACGAGUCCUUCGGGUCUAGUGGCGCACUGGUGCGUAACUCGUUGGAUCCUGCCCUUAGGUUCGGAAUAUCUUCCCGAAAGGGGUCCUAAUACCGGAUCUUGUCUUCGUUCCAAAGAUUUAUCGCCUUUGGAUGGGCCUCCGUUGGAUUAGCUAGUUGGUAGGGUAAAAGCCUACCAAGGCGACGAUCCAUAGCUGGCCUGAGAGGAUGAGCAGCCACACUGGGACUGAGACACGGCCCAGACUCCUACGGGAGGCAGCAGUGGGGAAUAAUGGACAAUGGGCGAAAGACUGAUCCAGCAAUGCCGGGUGAGUGAUGAAGGCCUUAGGGUUGUAAAGCUAUUUUACCCGGGAUGAUAAUGACAGUACCAGGAGAAUAAGCACCGGCUAACUCCGUG
This 433-nucleotide ribosomal RNA is filed under the name uncultured bacterium. RNAcentral describes it as "partial 16S ribosomal RNA". It matches the Rfam family "Bacterial small subunit ribosomal RNA", at positions 29 to 507 of the family's 1533-position model. The record is from RNAcentral.